UACGGAGGGUGCGAGCGUUACUCGGAAUUACUGGGCGUAAAGCGUGCGUAGGCGGUUCGUUAAGUCAGAUGUGAAAGCCCCGGGCUCAACCUGGGAAUGGCAUUUGAAACUGGCGGGCUGGAGUGUGGCAGAGGGGGGUGGAAUUCCACGUGUAGCAGUGAAAUGCGUAGAGAUGUGGAGGAACACCGAUGGCGAAAGCGACUCUCUGGACGGCAACUGACGCUGAGGCACGAAAGCGUGGGGAGCAAACAGG
This 253-nucleotide ribosomal RNA is filed under the name uncultured bacterium. Its description in RNAcentral is "partial 16S ribosomal RNA". It matches the Rfam family "Bacterial small subunit ribosomal RNA", at positions 524 to 776 of the family's 1533-position model. The record is from RNAcentral.